Molecule: long non-coding RNA, 270 nt
Organism: Aptenodytes forsteri (emperor penguin)
Lineage: Eukaryota; Metazoa; Chordata; Aves; Sphenisciformes; Spheniscidae
Exons: 3
Source: RefSeq, a predicted model, not a curated record
UGUUUCAGUGGAGUCCAACUAACUGCAGUGUCACAGGUCUGAAGAGAGCUGAUCAGUAGACAAAGUAAAGGCUGGAGCCUGCAAACACUGAAGUCAACAUGAGGUGUCUGUUGCCAGGUUCUGUCCUGUCCCUGCCAGGUUUACAGGAUCAGCCCAUAUGUCUCACAGGAUGGGAAAUGGUAACAUCGUGAUGAUGCUACAGGUCCAAACCUUUGGCUGAACACUAACAACCUACACUGAUUGAAAAUCUGGAUACCUGUAGUAAUAAAA